GAUGAAGAACGCAGCGAAAUGCGAUAAGUAAUGCGAAUUGCAGAAUUUCCGUGAGUCAUCGAAUCUUUGAACGCACAUUGCGCCCCCUGGUAUUCCUGGGGGCACACCUGUCCGAGCGCCAUUUCAACCCUCAAGCUUCGCUUGGUGAUGGGGACCGCCCGCGGGCGGCCCCGAAACUCGUGGGCGCCGACGGCCGGCCCUGAGCGUAGCAAAACCCUCGCUCGGGACCCCGGCCGGCGGCCGCCUCGACCUCAUACUCACAAGGUUGGCCUCGGAUCAGGUGGGGAUACCCGCUGAACUUAAGCAUAUCAAUAAGCGGAGGA
Molecule: unclassified non-coding RNA, 323 nt
Filed under: soil metagenome
Description: partial contains 5.8S ribosomal RNA, internal transcribed spacer 2, and large subunit ribosomal RNA
Rfam family: 5.8S ribosomal RNA (bases 1-121)
Source: RNAcentral